UGUACAAGUUCAUGCCCCUUGUAAUUGGGCGAAACCGCGAAUGGCUCAUUAAAACAGUCAUAAUCUAUUUGAUGUUAAAAGUUAUAAGGAUAACUGUGGUAAUUCUAGAGCUAAUACUUGCACAUAAUUGGUGACUGCAGGGCAACUUGCAGAAGCCAGGCGUUUAUUAGACUAAGACCAAUGAUUGGACGCAAGUUCAAUCUUUUUAUGGUGACUCUGAAUAAAUAAUGGGUGAAAGCCCAUGAUGCUGACCCUCUUUAACGCUCUUCGGAGUUGAGGGCAAAUCAUUCGAGUGUCUGCUCUAUCAACUGUGGAUGGUAGGAUAUAUGCCUACCAUGGUGGUAACGGGUAACGGGGAGUUAGGGCUCGACUCCGGAGAACAAGCCUGAGAAACGGCUAGUAGGACUAAGGUCUGCAGCAGGCGCGAAACUUACACAAUGGGAGCACAUCCCUGAUGUAGUGAAGGAAAAUAACGAUGUAUCUUGCAUUACUGCAUGAUACAAUUGGAAUGAGACGACUGUAAAUAUGUUAGUCGAGUAACAAAUGGAGGGCAAGUCUGGUGCCAGCAGCCGCGGUAAUUCCAGCUCCAUUAGCGUAUAUUAAAGUUGUUGCGGUUAAAACGCUCGUAGUUGAAAUUAACUUGGUUUUUCAUCACUCGCUUCCAUUAAAGGCAGUAUUUGCUUCGGCGUUUACUUGCCUGGUUGCCGUAGUGCAUAUAAAGCCAAUGUUUCGCCACUUUAAACGAGUGCGAAGCGGGGCGUUAUACCAUAAACGAUAACUUCGGUUAUCUGAUAUAGCGCCAAGUUUACCUUGAGAAAAUUAGAGUGCUCACAGCAGGCAGUUGAGAUGUAAAAGUCUUUUAAUGCUUGAAUAAUGUUGCAUGGAAUAAUAGAAUAUGGCCUCGGUUCUAUUCUGUUGGUCUUAUAGAACAACAAAAAAGUUGGUACUUGCACCAAAGUUUCUUCGUGCGUUGGUUCUGCUUUAGUUAACGCAUUUAUGUUGCCUAAAUGGUAAAAAGUUUAGUGCCAUGAUGUUUGUUUUAACUAAGUGUUCCAUAAAAGGCGCAUGUUGUUUACGAGCAACCACCAACUGAGGCAAUGGUUAAAAGAAAUAGUCGCGGCGGCAUCAGUACUGCAUCGCUAGAGGUGAAAUUCUUAGACCGAUGCAAGACUAACUGAAGCGAAAGCGUUUGCCGAGGAUAUUUUCAUUAAUCAAGAACGAAAGUUAGAGGUUCGAAGGCGAUCAGAUACCGCCCUAGUUCUAACCAUAAACGUUGCCAACUAGCAAUUGGCCUGAAUUCUAUUUUAACAAAUUGAAUGAUUCGGCCAGCGGCUCUAGGGAAACCAAAGUGUUUGGGUUCCGGGGGAAGUAUGAUUGCAAAGUUGAAACUUAAAGGAAUUGACGGAAGGGCACCACCAGGAGUGGAGCCUGCGGCUUAAUUUGACUCAACACGGGGAAACUUACUAGAUUAGAACACAGGAAUGAUUGACAGAUUGAUAGCUCUUUCUUGAUUCUGUGAGUGGUGGUGCAUGGCCGUUCUUGAUUCGUAGAUUGAUUCGUCUGCUUAAUUGCGAUAACGAGUGAGACCUCACUUUACUAACUAGUCGUUUGGUGCAUCUUUGACACAAAAGUCUUACUAACGUUUGCCUUCGAUAGGAUGUAAAAGUUACUAAGUUGGUAAUGUUAGCUAAGAUGUCUUUGACUCGCCAACGGACUUCUUAGAAAGAUAAACGGUGUUUUAGCCGUAAGAAAUGAG
Molecule: ribosomal RNA, 1756 nt
Filed under: Nothopoda sp. NJAUEriYN187
Lineage: Eukaryota; Metazoa; Arthropoda; Arachnida; Trombidiformes; Eriophyidae
Description: bacterial SSU rRNA
Rfam family: Eukaryotic small subunit ribosomal RNA
Source: RNAcentral